Molecule: ribosomal RNA, 506 nt
Filed under: uncultured bacterium
Lineage: Bacteria
Description: partial 16S ribosomal RNA
Rfam family: Bacterial small subunit ribosomal RNA
Source: RNAcentral
AUUGAACGCUGGCGGCAGGCCUAACACAUGCAAGUCGGACGGUAGCACAGAGGAGCUUGCUCCUCGGGUGACGAGUGGCGGACGGGUGAGUAAUGUCUGGGGAUCUGCCCGAUAGAGGGGGAUAACCACUGGAAACGGUGGCUAAUACCGCAUAACGUCGCAAGACCACAGAGGGGGACCUUCGGGCCUCUCACUAUCGGAUGAACCCAGAUGGGAUUAGCUAGUAGGCGGGGUAACGGCCCACCUAGGCGACGAUCCCUAGCUGGUCUGAGAGGAUGACCAGCCACACUGGAACUGAGACACGGUCCAGACUCCUACGGGAGGCAGCAGUGGGGAAUAUUGCACAAUGGGCGCAAGCCUGAUGCAGCCAUGCCGCGUGUAUGAAGAAGGCCUUCGGGUUGUAAAGUACUUUCAGCGGGGAGGAAGGCGAUAAGGUUAAUAACCUUGUCGAUUGACGUUACCCGCAGAAGAAGCACCGGCUAACUCUGUGCCAGCAGCCGCCGUAA